RNAcentral lists this non-coding RNA (66 nucleotides) under unclassified sequences. RNAcentral describes it as "RAGATH-18 RNA". It matches the Rfam family "RAGATH-18 RNA". From Rfam's summary of the family: Actinobacteria, Firmicutes, Fusobacteria, Thermotogae (1 example). Nearby to self-cleaving ribozyme genes The record is from Rfam by way of RNAcentral.
CUUGUGGACUGUUACAUCAACUGUAGUAGCGAGCUUUUGGCGAGGCAGGACAGGAUAAAGCAAGAA